AGACCAUGUACUACCUGGUCCUCAGUUUCAAUCUCUAAAAACUGAGCCCUCCAGACUUGCUGAAAUCUCCUUUCAUGUGGAUAUGCCUUACUCAGAUACAGACUUCAUCCCGCUUCAGGGAAGCUACUCACAUGAGCAAAGAAGGCAGCCCCUCCGGAUGUUGGCAUGGAUUCAGGAAGGGAAACAUGGGCUGACUCCUCGCUGUGACGGCGUUGCCAUCCGUGGUCUAUGAAUUUUAACAACUUCGUCAUUCUGUGAAAACAGUGCAAAUAUAACACAAGAGAGUUGAGUGAGGUGACCAGUUUGCUUCCUGUGUAUUUCUAAACCAUCAUUACUUGGAAAUCUGCUUUACUCCUUCACAUCUGUUCAGAUCUUAUUCACAAGAAGGUAAUUUUUAUGGAAUUUCCCUGAACUCUUUCCUUUUCUGCCCUUUUUUUGUUGAAGUGC
RNAcentral lists this long non-coding RNA (447 nucleotides) under Struthio camelus australis. RNAcentral's name for it is "lncRNA (ENSSCUG00000011933.1)". The record is from RNAcentral. Lineage: Eukaryota; Metazoa; Chordata; Aves; Struthioniformes; Struthionidae.